ACGGCCAUACCAUGCUGAAUAUACCGGUUUUCGUUAGAUCACCGAAGUCAAGCAUCAUUGGGCGCGCCCAGUACUUGGGUGGGGGACCAUCUGGGAACACCGCGUGCCGUUUU
RNAcentral lists this ribosomal RNA (113 nucleotides) under Caerostris darwini. Lineage: Eukaryota; Metazoa; Arthropoda; Arachnida; Araneae; Araneidae. The record is from RNAcentral.